UACGUAGGUGGCGAGCGUUGUCCGGAUUUACUGGGCGUAAAGAGCGCGCAGGCGGCCGUACAAGUCGCGUGUGAAAGCCCCUGGCUCAACUGGGGAGGGUCACGCGAUACUGUUCGACUCGAAGGCAGGAGAGGGAAGUGGAAUUCCCGGUGUAGUGGUGAAAUGCGUAGAUAUCGGGAGGAACACCAGUGGCGAAGGCGACUUCCUGGCCUGUUCUUGACGCUGAGGCGCGAAAGCUAGGGUAGCAAACGGG
RNAcentral lists this ribosomal RNA (253 nucleotides) under uncultured bacterium. Its description in RNAcentral is "partial 16S ribosomal RNA". It matches the Rfam family "Bacterial small subunit ribosomal RNA", at positions 524 to 776 of the family's 1533-position model. The record is from RNAcentral.